This 19885-nucleotide long non-coding RNA is filed under the name Brassica rapa (field mustard). RNAcentral describes it as "long non-coding RNA (BRAP_LNC000665)". Lineage: Eukaryota; Viridiplantae; Streptophyta; Magnoliopsida; Brassicales; Brassicaceae. The record is from RNAcentral.
UCACAUCCAAAACCAAUAACAACACAAAGAAAACGUAUACUGAUCUCUGCUCUAUAGGUUCAUAUACAUUUUUCUUUUGUAACCCUAAAAACAUGGCAAUACUCAGGAACAAAAACAUAACCUUUUCAUUGAUCUUGAUGUGUCUCAUUGUGGUGUCUCCAAUUGCUAAUGCUCAGCUUGGUGGUCUGGGUGGUGGGCUUGGUGGUCUUGGUAUGCUUCUUGGUGGGCUUACUAAUAUCUUUAAUAUUCAAGGCCUUCUCAUGUGCUCUGUCACUGGCACCGUCUCUACCAAUAACGCGACUGCCGUUCCUCCUUUUCCUAGUAAAUUUUCUAUUCUCACACUUUCUCUUUCGAUCAACUAUGCCAAAAUAAAAACAACGGAUUUGUUGUAAACUAUGUAAUAGUUAGAAUGAUAUAUAUACACUACACACACUCGAACUUUUUUCAUUUAUUCAUAAGUUAGGUGUUAAAUAAUCAAGUUACCAUCAAUUAAACAUAUAUUAGAAAAUGUGGUAUAACAUGUUUGUAAAACUAGACCUAUCACCUAUGUAAAACCAUCAAUAUAUUGUGAAGGAAUGUUAGGAGUAUACGUAGAAUUCUAUUGACUCUAGUAACCAGUUAUAUAUCUUCCAUGCAACAUCUUUGUACACUCAAAUGUAUAGUAUAGAUUCAAAAACAUAAAUUAACCUAUAUGUACGGGUGUACGGCAAGGAUACAUGUUACUGAGAUAAUAUUUAAAUGUAAAUUUUGUUCUACACAUUUGUAAUAAUAUAAUGCUGCAAAUAAACAAACAGAUGCGGGAAUAGUGUUCCAGUGCACUGGGCAAAAUGUUUCAAGUACGACUACGAACGCUAAUGGAGUAUUCUCGAUUCCUACUAUUGGACUUCCCUUUUCGCCUUCAACACUCCUCUCCUCCGGUUGUAGGCUCGUCGUCACGACCCCUCUCACCGCCUGUAACGUCAGCCUCCCUGCGGCCGGACUCCUCAUGGCACCUUUAUCUCUAGUCGGAACCGCUGCCGGCGACGGCCUCAACAUCUUCAGCCUCGUCCCAGGUGCCUUUGGCCUCGUCGGUUAACUGAUUCCAAUCAACCGAGUAUGCUUUAUGUUUGAUCACGGUGUGUUUCCCAGUUUCUGUUUGUUUUAUGUUUUGUGGCAUGACCAAUAACGUUUGCUUGCGUAUGCAUGAAUAAGGUCUACAUAAUAAGGCGUAUGUGUUUAUCUUCAAAGUAUUGUUGUUGUAACUUCUUUUUAUCCAGUUCUUAAUUUGCAUGUAUAAUUGCUGUAACGAAAUGUAAUGAAAUGAUAUGAAAUAAAGUAACUUCCCUUUUAUAGAUAUAUUGAGAGAAAGUCUCUUUCCAUAACCUGACCCGUAUUGGAACCCUAAACCAUACAUAUACCCACUCCCAGAACCUUAUUCUUCCGUGUCUGAAUUUAUAAAGAACGAUAUAAUAUUGGAGUCGUAUAUAUGAUUCACUUAAGUUCUAGUAGCUUCCUUUGAUCAGUAUGUGUGUACAAUGCCGAAUUAAGUACUGAACUAAGUGGCCUGCAACCAGUGGCGGAACCAGCUCAACCUUUCACAGUGAAAGUUUCAGUAGGGUCAUUUGCAUAAUUUUAUUAUGUUACUUGGGUCAAUAGUCUAAAUCUCUUAACAUUUUUUCAGUUUGUUUCAAAAUACAAAGGAAAAUUUUCUUUUAAUAAAAAUCCAUAUGAGUCAUAUGACCACCCUCAGCUUAAGCUAGUUCCGCCACUGCCUGCAACUGCUUAGUGCUCUUCUUGGUGAUUUUAAUUCAAUUACCACUCGUAUAUAAAUGUGAAUUCCUCUGUUAUAAUUUUCACAUGAUACAAAUGUCGUUUUCCUAAUGGCUCAUCUCUCUAAACUCUGAACAGAAAUAAUAUGCGUAACACUUAACAGACACUUGCAAACGUUUUCGAAUAGCACAAUAACAUUUCCAGUAAAGAAACUUUUAAGUGUUUAACAUAUUUGAAAAAAAAGUCACAGUCGAUAAUAAAACAUAGGUAAUUGCAUAAGUAGUCGAUAAUACACAUAGAUAAUUGCGUAAGUGUGUACUUUCAAGUACAUGGCUCUAGUUAUUUCAUCUAGCUACAAGGAUAAGGCUAUAUGCAAUAGAUGUUUCUCACGGAUUUUUUUCACAAUUUAGGUGAAUAAUUAAUUAGAGGAUUCUCUCAAUAAAGUUAAGAAUUCAUGUGGGAAUCUCUCAUUUGAAAAAAAUCAUAAAUGAAUCUCUCAAUUUUGUUAAAAGACUCUCAAGUUAAUUAUUCAUAUAGAUUGUGAAGGAUUUUAUUUAAAAAACUCUCAUAGCACAUAACCUAAAUGAGAAUUUUUGAAUUUUCUGGGUUCUGGAACGUUUUAGUUUUUGCUUUUGUUAGAUUUCAUAAGAGUAACACAUUGAGAGGUUCUCAAGAUGAGAUUUUAUGAUAUAGAAUUCGUUUUGAGAUACUCAAAUUAGCAUUUUAUAAAUAUAUAUUUAUUUGAAAAUAUUUUGAGAUUUGUUUUUAGAGAACUUCGUAUUAGGUAUUAGAGUUGCUACAAGUUUCCCAAAAGUUUACCAUAUUCUAAAAAUGUGAAUAUGGUAAACUUGUAGCAACUCUAAUACCUAAUACGUAUGGUAAAUGAAUAUUUUACCAUAUUCUAAAAAGCAACUCUAAGUUUACCAUCACUUCGUAUUAGGUAUUAGAGUUGCUACAAGUUUCCCAAAAGUUUACCAUAUUCCCAAAAGCAACUCUAAGUUUACCAUAUUCUAAAAAUGUGGAUAAUACAAUGGACGAUUUACAAAACAAAAUAAAAUUACUCAAUAUAAACUAUAAAUUUUUGUAUUUUGAAAUUUCAUAUCAAAUCAAUAUUUAACACGGGUAAAUUAUAAAACUAUAUAUUACUCUAUAUGUUCAUAAAUAUAAGAUGUCUAGGUAGAAACAACACAUAUAUUAAGAAAACUAUUUUUUUGUCCAAAAAGUAUCAUUAAAACUAUAAAUUAAUAGUAUUCAACCAAUUACAAAAUAGACUAUUAAAAUAUGAUUGGGUACACAGUUUUUAAUAAAGUAAAAGUUACCUAAAAAAAUGAAAACAUCUUAUAUAUUGGAAUAUCUUAUAUAUUGGAACAUCAAAAUUUUGUAAAACAUCAUACUUUUAGGAACAUAAGAAGUAUUACUUAUACAAAUGAAUAUUUAUUUAUAAUAAAAUAUAAGUAAACACGUGGGUAGGUGUGCAGAUUAAAGUCUAGUCUUUUAUUACGAGAUAGAGUGAGUAGCAUUUUUUGAUUGAAACACUUUUUAUGAUUACUGCACAAACUUAGAGAAUUUUUAGGAAUAUUGUUCUAUAUUUUGGCUUUUGUUGAACGAUGCAUGAAGGAGAUCAGCUUGUUUAUGAAAUUCACGCCUGUAUAACUAAAAUAUUUGUUUUCCAUUUAGUUUUCACGGGUCCUUUAAUAUAUUGCAUGAUUUCCUUGUUGUACUUGUGGCAGAGAAGCAUUCACUGCUAUGUAUUAUACUCAUAUUAUACAGUCAUAUGAUUUUUUUUUUGUAACUUUUUUUUUUUUUUUUUUUUUUUUUGGUCAAAAUGUUAAGAUUUAUAACCAGUUUUCAAUUUUACAGAGUUGUGGAAACCACUUAUUACAAGAAAAGAAAGAAACAGCAACAUUAGACAGGAGAGAGUGAGAAAGAAAAGAAGAUUUGCAGCAGGGAAGGGGCUGGUGGAGGGCGUGAAGACGGUGGAAUGAUGGAGAGAAGUCGAUCGCGAAUCAUCCUGUCAACCCGGGACACAGAAGCCUGAACUGGAGAUGCGUUGUCCCUGAAGAUUCUGAAAUUUCUUUCCCGCCAAAGAACAUAGGAGAUGACCUGCAACAGAAGCUUGAAAACCGAUUGUGCAGCAGAGGAGGAAGCCAGCGGGCCUUGGUCCAGCAAAGCGAUGCACGAGAGGAUAGAUACCGGUGGGGCCGUUAUAAAUAUCUAUAACGGCCCCACCGGUAUAAAAUAGAACCUGGGAUCUGAAACACAUUGUGUCCAUGAUGUUGCAGGACACAGUCACACACAAGCUGUACUGUGAUCUCAUAUUCUCAUGACAGCUAGUAAAUGGUUAGAUCUCCGAUAUGGUAUACUUCAAAAUUAACCAUAUUACGGACUUUCUUUCCUUUCCUCAGUCUUUUUCUCAACAAAUUCUGAUUCUACUAAUAAAUAUAUUAGCUCUGUUAUUUUCAUUAAUGCGCGAGCUGCGGCUGCGACAAAGAAAAUACAGUGUGAUGGAAGCCAGUUGAACGCCACAGAAAAUUAAAAUGGUCUUUAGUGAACUGCCAAAAGUACAAAAAUUUGAGAAGCAAUUGUCGCUGAAAUAUUCAGCGUUUCUUUUACUCCUUGCAAUCAGCCGCAACGUCAAGAAAAAUAGACGGCAAGGUUUCAUGAUUGAUGUGCGGGCUGUGGUUCGCCGUGGUGAUACUUUAAAUUUUUAGUCGCAUUCGCUGGCGGUGGCGUUCACAAAAAAAACAUGCUUAAAUUUGACAUUAUAAAUAUGCAGAAUGGGGACAGACUCUAACUAAUGCAUUAUAAGAAGAUUUUUGGAGUAAAUAAUGACUCUCCAUCUGAAUGAUUAAUUCUCCUGCUUUUCAAUUUAGGAGAUUUUCAAAUUUACAUCUAAUAUUUUCUUUAAAAUGAACGUGGACAAAGAUAUAAAUUUUCUAAAUUUAAAAUAAAAAUAUAUAUUCUUCUAUUUUAGAAGAAUAUAAUAAAAUAAAAUCUACAUAUAUUUCAAGAAUUAUUUUAUUUUUGAAUAAUAAACAGAAGUGGAUUUGAGAUUUUCUUAGUUUUUAAGAUGAUGAAUUGUGUUUUUAAGUAUAUCUACAUCUUUUUUUAAAUCAGAAAAUGCAUAUGCUUAAGCAUCAGCUGAGAACACCAAUAAAUCUUAGCAUUCAUAAGAGAGUUUUGCAGGAACAUGUUGCAAGUUACUUGAGAAGAUAUCCGUUGCAUCUAGUUCUAGGAUCACAAAAUUGAAAUUGUUUUUAAAAAUCUCCUAGACAUUAUUUGCAAAAUGAUUUCACACAUUUCUUCUCUACAAUCAAUUUUACCAAAUAAAUGUGACAUGGCAUACUGAAAUUAAAGACAUACCUUAUAAUUAAAUGUAACAUAAACAAUUACAGUUAAUACUGAUUUAUAUUUCUGGUCAACUUUAUAGAUUAUGAUUGUAAAUUAUACAUCAUCAUUAAUAUAAAUAUAUUCAAAUGUGAUAUUAAAUAAUAUAAUCAUAGAAAUAUAAUCAUAUUUACAAUUUUUUAAAAAAUAAUUAUAAUUAUACAAUUUUUAUUACUAAAAACAAUUUUCAAUUUUCUUUUACAAUGUUUACGAAAAAAAAUGUAAUAUCAUUAGUUUCUCUUAUAUCUACAAUUUUUGAAAUGCUCUUUAGCUUUACUUUUUGAUAAUUAUACAAUUUUUAUAUCAAUUUAUAUAAGUUUAUUUAAUAUAUUUUAACCAAAAUAAAUAUAUAAAAAUAUAUUCUACUAUUGUAAUUUUAAAAAUAUACAUAUCUAUUCUCAAAUAUAAUUUCAAAUAAAUAAAAUUGUUUAUUUUAUCUUAAUUUUAUGUUCAAUUAAAUCAAAAUUUAAGUUAAAAUUUUAGUAAAAGAAUAAUAAAAUCUAAAAUAAUAUUUUAUUUUUAAAUUAUAUUAAAUUUAAAAUUUUUUAUUGUUGCACAUGGUGCAAAAAAAUACCUAGUUGAGACUAUAUUUUGGUAGUUCAGUACAUACACGGACAUGAUCUUAUACGUUUUUUACAUGAUCUUACAACUUAUUUACAAUGAUAUAAGAGACACAAUAAGAUAUCACUGACUGUAAAGUGUUCAUUGGUAUACUGCUAAAUAAGCAAUGAUGUCCAGGUUUACUUAAACCUAGGAGCGUGCCGCACUUCACGCGAAAUAUUGUUUUAUUAUAGUUAAAUAUUAUUUUUUGGAUGAUGUAAUUAUGUAGUCAUCUUUAUUUGUUAAGAGUGUUAUUUAGGUUUUUAUUGUGUUACAUAGUAGUAUGUGAUAGGUUAAUAUGUUUUGUGUUUAUUUUUUUAAUAAUGUGUUGUUGUGUGUAUAGUAGUACUUGUUAGUAGUGAAGUGAGCCUCAGAUAUAAAGCAUAUUGAAUUUCAAUAACUUUGCAUUGAGGCAUUUGUUGAUUAUAAGAUUAAUGAUUUCAACGAUAAAAUUGUAUUUUAUUUUUGAAAUGUUUGAACAUUAUUCUUCUGAGAUGUGUUUUGCCCUCUCUCCAUAUAUUGACUUUGACCCGUCACCAUCUAGGUGUUUUGUUUAUCUUUCCAGUGUGUGAUGCUUCUCAUCAUUACCAGAAAAGUAUUCGCCUAUGUGCUUUUGUUUUUCCUCGCCUUCUUCUCCUGUGAGAUUAUCUGGUAUUUGUUGUAGAUCGAGUUUAUGAGUUCCCAGUUGUGUGUUUGUUUCUCACAGUGUUGUAGGUUGUUCCGAUCAAUAUUGGCUGCUCCUCUUCUUUCUUAGAUUCCGGCCGAUGUUAGAAGCUACAUUUCCUUGUGUUGGGUCAUAGUUUAGUCGUCUUUGAUGUUGUCUUCCUCGUUGUUGGCUUACUGUCGAUAGUCCCUCCUCAUCUUGUUUUCAAGAUCUGGUUUUUGGUGAUCAUAUUUCUCUGCUAUUUUUCAUAGCUAGAGGAUGUUUCCACGGUUGUUGUUUCUCCUUCUGUAUCCUCUCAUCUCGUUACAAAUUUCAUCGCUGCUCACAUCUCUGGUGGUUCUUCUUUUUGCCAUGUUUGCCACUCCAGGUUUGGAUAAUGUUUUCUUCCAUGUAUGCUUUGUGGGCUUGGAAGGUUGUUUCUGGUCUCAAGCUUAAGCUCUAAUUUUUCAGUGGUUGGCUUCUAUUCUCCCUUCCUCAGGUUAUUUCUCUUCUUUCCAUGCUUCUCUUGGUAAAGGUGUGCGAAGCUAAUCUCUUGAACUUUGGUCUCUUCUAUCCAGAGCUUUGUGGUUCUUUUCUGGCAUGGGUGUACUGUUUGUUUAGUUUGUGAUGUGUUGUUUCUUACUUCUUAGCUGGUGGUUGUGCUUCUGCUGCUGUAGGCAUGUAUCUUCUUGUUUUGUGGUGAUUUUGGCAUUCCUGUGAUUAUUUUUCCUCUGACCCGCUUUAUUGGUUCUUUGUGUUUGGUGCUUGAUCGCGCUCCUUUGUAUUUGUGGGAUUGCUUUGUCUUUUUUUUUUUAACAAAAGGGAUUUCUUUGUUUUAGAUUUUUUUUUUCUACCCUUUUCUAACCUCUGUUUUUUUUUCCGGCCAAGACACUCUAUGGUAAGAUGAUGUAAGUUAAUCUUCAUUCUUGAUCUCUUUUUAAAUCCGGACCUUUAUUGAGUUAAUGUUACUAUGACAUUUUGCUUAUCUCUCAGAUUGAGGAGAUUUUAAGUUUAUGUGUGUUGUAAUUUUUAAUAGUAAUAUAAAUAUAGUAUUUGUAAAUAAAAUAAUAAAAAAUAGAAAAUAGUAAAAAUGAUAAAAUAGUGAAAGUUAUUUUUUUAGUUGUUAAUAUAUUAAAUAUUUAAAUAUAGUUAUGUUAUUUUACUUAUUUAUUUAUUCAUCUUGAAUUUUAGUGACCAAUAAAAUAUAUUAUCAAACAUCGUAUCAUGAUUGUUAGUGCAAGAAGGAUUAGAUAACUAAAAUUCUCAGAUCAAUCUUACCUAUCAAAUUAGAUCAUGUUUAAUUCAGUGGUUGAAAUUAAAAGAUAAAAAUAGACAUUAACAAAAAUAAAUGAUCUUUUAACUACUUCUCCUUUUGAUACACCAUUUUAUUGGUUUUUAAGUCUCAGAUACCUAAGCCAACAAAAAAUUGAUUAUAGCUCUGAAUAUCUACAAGCAAGACCAUAAAUAAUGUAACAAAAAUCUCUAAAUACCUAUAUAUCUAUAUGUUUUUGUUACUAUUACAUUUGAACCACAAUUGUUCUGCAUGUUGUCAUUUGGACGCUAUAACUUGACCAAUUGCUGACACUUCGGUUUUUGGUUGCUAUUUGUAACGGAAAAAUAACAUUUUUCUUCAUAAAAAAAUAGUCUCUUUCUCGUAUAUUUUCUCUCUAACUAAGAGAGUUGUGGGUUUUUACAUGGAUUCGAUGAUGACAAAUUCAUAGUGAAGACAUUAUUCAGAUAGAAAAAUAGAAACACAUCUAUUUAGAUAAUUUCUAGAUUUUUUUCUCUUGAAUAAAAUCGGUGAUUAUUUAGAUCUAUGGAAUGAUCGUAACUUCUAAUCUAGAGAUAUAGAAAGAUGGGAUGUUGCAUGUGACACCUCAUAUUUUAGAUCAUUUUAGUGCUUUGAGUUGUAUUUAAUAAUCAUUUGUGUGCAUUAGGAAUUACUAUUAGAAAUUUUGGGACUAAUCCAAAAAGAAGAAAAAGUCUUACUUUAUAUAUAUGAUUACACAAGACCCUAGAUAUCGAAAUGAGUCUUCUCCCAUGUCCACCAGAAAAAAAUGAAGCAAACGCCUAGAUUUCUCUUCAAAAUGCAAAAUUCAACAAAAAGAAGAAAAAAAAAAGAUAAUAGAGAGGAAUGACUAAGAAUGACAUAAAUUCAACAUGCCAACACAUCUACUUACAUUUCACACAUAACUAACUGUAGUUUGGCCUCGUAACCAGAAACAAAGACAAGUUCAAAAAAAUACUACAGCCUCUAUAUGCGAAGAUAAAAGAAAAAAAAUCAAAAUCUUGUAUUGUAAUUACGGUUUACAUGAGUUUAUUGGUUCUUUAGACUUUAGGUAAACUCCGAGUGGCUUUCUUAGGGUUUUGUUAAUCUAUCAAACACUUAAUAUGUGAGCAUUCACCGUUACCAUGAGUGGACAACUAGAUUGGUGAAUGAAUCUUUUUUUGUAGCCCCUGGAGUUUCAUUUAAAAACAGAAAAUAACUAAAUAUGUAUGUCCUGCGAUAACCUAUAAACGACUGGUCGUCUGGUCCCGUGGAGCUUCACUCACAUUUACAUAUGCUUGUUAUGCUGAAAACCGAGCGAUCCAACUCAUAGUUGAAGAUGAAUAAGUUCAUGGACAAAUCUAUAACACAAGUUGGCUAGUGGAUUUGCUACUAUCUCCUUAUAUCAAUAUAAAGGCUGCUUUACGUAAGGUUGAUUUAUUUAUAUACUACAAAAUAUUUAAGCAGCCAGAAUAAAAUCUAUAGGAGAGUCCACCUACUCUACACUAUGAUUAGGGGUUUUGAGAUUAACUACCACUCAACGGUGCGAAUCCUCAAAUUGUUGAAUAUGGACUUUUGGAAAUUCUAUUGGAUCCACUAUAUCUUUUUAUGGACUCAAAAAUAUAGUCCAAUAUUUGUUUUUCUUGAUCUCUUUCACAUAGAGUUAAUUGGCUAAGUAACCAAUUUUAGAAGGAAAAUAAAUAAUAUUGCUAUGAUUUUGACAUAAUUAAACCAAUAACAUUUAUCUCAAGUUUUAUCAGGUUUUACUCUUUGUUUUAGCAAGUUACUGGUGAAAGAAGAGAAAAGUAACGGUGACCACAUGUGUACAAGAGAAAAUCGAAGCUGUAGAUGGUAAUCAAAUCAAUAACAUAACCAUGACGUCCAAUCAAUUAUGACCGAUCCGACAAAAAUCAGAUUAUUUAUAAAUUGGGAGGAACAAAGACGGAUACAUUUCGAUGACGUGGUUUUCAUUGUGGAAUACAGGCGGUACGGGACAAGCGGUUUAACUGCAGUGCAGUUUUAACAGUUAUAAAAACGUAUAGAUAUAUGAUAUAUGUAGAGAUUUUUGUUAUUGUUAACUACAGUGCGGGACGAGACGGUUCGUAACAUUCGAAACCACAAUAGUAUAAAACUCUACAAAUAGUAUAAAUAGAAGUAUCAGAUGUAUAAUAAUAUAGGAAGAAAUAAGUCUUUAAUUUGUUGAUGCGAAAGACAUCAUGAACUAUGAACUAGAUAUACAUAUCCUUCGUCCAACAUUAGUAAAUAGCAUGUUUAAUGGAAGUUUUUAGAAUAAGGUUUUUAGCGGAAUAUAAUAACCCACUUUAAAAACUCCCAUUAAAUAUUAUCUAAAAAUGAAUUUUAUAUUAUAAAUAAUCACAUAAAAUGACUGAGAAAAAAAAUACCAAACAUGAAAGCACGGCAAUUUGUUUCAUUUUGAGAAAAUAGUAUAAAAAUAUGUAGAGAAUAGAAGAUUAUAUAGUAUAAUAAUAUUAUAUAAAUAGCUAUACUAAAAACAUAUACUAUACUAUUAAUGCUUACGCUGAGUAUAGCAUAGUCAGCGAAUCCAUUUUCUUCGCCUUCUCUUUUUUUCUGACAUAGAGUUACAUACUGGUCCACUGUCACAAUUCUUCAUCACCAUAUGGAAUCGGCGAGCCAUCUUCUUCAUAUCUACUCAUCUUACUGACACGACAACACAUAUAUUUGCCUGCUGUCGUUAUUUUCACCACUAGAUCACGUUAAGCCACGAUGAUUGUGUUGAUGGAGGAAAAAAGGAAAUUACUACGAAGUGUAGAAGAAGACAAAACGGUGGGAAAAGGUGAUGAUAGAUGGGGUGGCGUUGGUGGCAGUGCCGGCUCUUGCGGAAUGCACAAAGUCUUUUAUUUUUUUUAGAAAUUUUCUUCCUAAAAUUAGGAGCUUAAGAGCAUGAUUAACCAUCUUAGUGAUUAUUUAAGUAAUUAAAAGUAGUUAAGAACUUUAAUUAAAAAAUCCAUAAAUUUUGUACUCCAAUGCUAGUUUCUUAACUAAGGAUUCUUAAAAAAAAAAAAUUUUAAACAAGUGUGUUCUCACCUCUACAUGUUACAACCAACUACACACGGAUUACACAAGCAUGAUUAUCAUUCCGUGACACAGAAACAUACAAGUACAAGACAUUACACAAACGUGUUCUCACCUCUGUCAGCAGCACAAGACAGUUUCUUCCAUCCGUGACUCGUGUGCCUCCUUUUGUGUCAUGUUACCUGCUUAGAAAAGAAGACAUCACACAAGAAACUUAAACAGAGCUUCACACAACAGAACAAGAAACAUACAAGCUAAACAUAACAGAACAACAUCACACAAGAACAAGACAAAUACAUUAACUCCAUAACAGACCAACAUCACACAAGAAACUUAAACAAAGCUUCUUAAACGUUUGAGCUAUGUAUUUAUUGGAUUAUAGAUUGUACGUUGGUUUGAUAUGGUUAAUACCGGUUAGGAACUUUCUAUAUAUAUUUGAAGUAUUGGUUACAUUGUAACAGAAUGAUGAUAAUAAUAAAAGAUAUUUUGAUCUUCAUCUCUCUCGCUUGAGCUCAAGUUCUCCGGAUCUAAUAUGGUAUCAGAGCAAUUGCUCUUCUUCUCCGCAUUUUCUCUUCGAUUCAGAGCUUGAUUCGAGUUUUCAUUUCAUUAUCGACGACUCGAUCUCUUCGAAUUUUCGAUCCGCGAUUCGUCCUUUUUCCCUUUUCUCUUUUCUCUUCUUUUGAUCACUGAACUUUCGUUUCUGUUCCGAUCUCUCUCCGAUUCAUUUCCAUUUCUCCGAUGUCUUAUGCGAAUGCUGUUACCUCUACUCCGUCAUCGGCGACGGCGCCAAACCGAUCACCGCUUACUCCUUCCCUUCAAGAUCCGAACUCGAAUCCGUUGUUCAUCCACAAUGCUGAUCAUGCUGGUAUUACUCUCGUUUCUGAUAAGCUUAUUGGCAUAGGGAAUUUCAAUACAUGGCGUCGAUCUAUGAUGAUGGCUUUAGGAGCUCGGAACAAAGUCGUUUUUGUAGAUGGAUCAUUUCCUGAACUUGAGAAAUCUCAUCCUGAUUACUCGUCGUGGUUUCGAUGCAAUAGUAUUGUGUGUACCUGGAUUGUUAACGCUGUGGAUAAAUCGAUCGCGAAAAGCAUCAUGUUUCUUGAUACAGCAAGGCAGAUGUGGUUGGAUAUUCACGAUCAAUUCCGUCAGAGCAAUGGUCCCCGUACUGCUGAGAUUAAACAGUUGAUCUUCUCUGAAGUUCAAGGUUCUCAGAGUAUUAAUGAGUAUUACACCAAGCUCAAACAACUCUGGGAGGAACUCAAGAAUCAUGAGAGUCCUUAUAAGUGUUGUUGUGCUCGUGAGAGUUGUGAGAGCUUCAAGACCCUGAUGGAUCGUGAUGAACAAGAUCGUGUGCUGAAGUUUCUUAUGGGGCUGAAUGACACCUUCACUGCUACGAGAGGUCAGAUAUUGAUGAUGGAACCAAAGCCUUCUCUCAUUAAGGUUUUGAAUUUCGUAUCACAGGAAGAACGUCAAAGGUCCAUGAAGAACAGUUCUGUCACGAGUUCAGUGGCCUUUCAAGCUUCUCAGCUCAACACACAACCUGAUCAGUUGGUCACAGCGUAUUCUGGUGGUUAUAACAAGUCUAAGGGUCGUCCUAUUUGCUCUCAUUGUGGCAUAGCUGGUCACACAGUUAAUCGUUGCUACAAACUUCAUGGUUUUCCUCCAGGGUACAAGACUCAAGGUUCCAAUCUCAAGCCACCACCUCAACAAUCUCAGCAACCUCAACAAUCUCCACAAAACAAGAUGAAUGAAUCUUGGCCUCCGAAGACUGGCAAUGUGGCUGGAUUGAUUACUCUUGAUCCGCAUAUAUAUACUCUCAAUCAACGUGGUGUUAAUCUGGAGAAUCUUACACCUGACCAGUUUCAGCAGCUUCUCAACGUUCUGAACUCAACUCCAAAGAUUCAGAAUAUUAUCUCUCAGGUCUCUGGCAGUCAGUUGAAUCUCGCAGAUGGCACAGUCUCCACUUCUAAACCGCAGCCCCAUCUUUCCACUCAAAUUCAUGCCCCAUCGGGUAAACCUAUUAACUCUUUUCAUUUAUUUUCUGCGGGAACCAACAAUAACCUUCCUUUUCAUAAGACUGCUUGGGUAGUUGAUACAGGAGCUAGCUGUCACGUUUGUUCUGAUUAUCAUCUUUUCAGUGAUCUCAUUCCCAUUACUGAUACUUUCGUUAUUCUUCCUGAUGGAACUCGAAUCUCAGUGACUCUUUCUGGAACAAUUAAACUUUCAGAUUCCCUUACCAUUUCCUCUGUUCUGUUUGUGCCUCAUUUCAAAUUUAACCUCUUAAGCAUCAGUGCUUUAACUCAGAACAGUCCUAUUACAGUGCUUUUCUCUUCCACUUCGUGCUACAUUCUUCCUUAUAAUCCUUUUCUUUCUCAGGAGCAUAUUCUGGACUCCAUGAUUGGGAAGGGUAAUCUUCGUGACAACCUUUACAUUUUGGAGUCCACUCUAUCUUCUUCCAGUGCUCCUUCUCACAAUCAUUCCGCUUUUCUAAUUUCAUCUGAAGUUUGGCAACAACGACUCGGGCAUCCCUCCUUUGACAAGAUUCAGACAUUAUCCAAAGAUAUUCAUCUUUCUAUUCCUAAAGAUACUCAUGAUACUUUCUGUAAACUCUGUCAUUUAGCUAAACAAAAGCGUAUGUCCUUUCGUUCUUCAAACAAUUUAUCUUCUCAACCUUUUGAUCUUAUUCAUCUUGAUGUUUGGGGUCCAUUUCAUGUUUCCACAUCAGAAGGAUAUAGAUAUUUUCUCACUAUAGUAGAUGAUUGUACGAGGGCUACUUGGGUUUAUUUACUUACUAAUAAGAGUUCUGUUACAACUAUCUUUCCUGAGUUCAUUCAAUUUAUUGAAACACAAUAUCAGAAGAAAAUCAAAGCCAUAAGAUCUGAUAAUGCUCCUGAACUCUCUUUUACUUCUUUGCUCAAAACUAAAGGGAUCAUUCAUUAUUUUUCUUGCGUCUACACUCCUCAACAAAAUUCGGUUGUAGAACGCAAACAUCAGCACAUUCUAAAUGUGGCUAGAUCUCUCCUUUUUCAAUCUAAUAUUCCCAUAGAGCAUUGGGGCGAUUGCAUUCUCACUUCCAUAUAUCUCAUUAACAGAACUCCUUCUCCGUUACUUCAAAACAAAUCUCCUUUUGAACUUUUAAACUCCAAACCUCCCUCGUAUGAUCAUCUCCGCGUUUUCGGUUGUCUCUGUUAUGCCUCCACUCUUCUAAAGGACAUACACAAAUUCUCUCCUCGAGCUUCUCCUUGUGUAUUCCUUGGUUAUCCGCAAGGAUACAAAGGAUAUAAAGUUCUUGAUCUUGAAACCAAUACUAUUCUCAUUUCCCGAAAUGUCAUUUUUCAUGGAUCUAUUUUUUCUUUUUCUAACUCUCCAUUGGUUUCUAAUAUAUUUCCUCAAGAUAUUCUUCCUUUGCCUGUUCCUGAGUCGUUGUUCCCAGCUUCUUUUGACAUUGAUCCAACUCCUAUUUUUCCUGAUUCUUCUUCUUCUCACACUGUUGAGCCUGAUCAUGAUAAUUCUAUUCCUGAUAUUUCUUCUUCUCACCAUCUUUCUGAUCCUAAUGUUCCUUCUUGUUCCAAUACUGAAUCUGUUCCAUCGGGAGAUAACGAUCCCAUUUCACGACCAAAACGCCAAACAAAAGUCCCUUCUUACCUUGAUGAGUAUCAUUGUUACCUUCUCAAUAAGGUUCCUGCUUUUCCUUCUCAUUCUCUUAACACUACAUCUUAUCCUAUUUCUUCUUUUCUUACUUAUGACAAUCUUCAACCCUCUUACAAAAAUUUCGUUCUUUCCAUUACUACUUCUACACCACCUAAGACCUUUCUUGAGGCUAUUAAAUCUGUGGAAUUCACUGCUGCCAUGAAAUCUGAGAUGACCUCUUUGGAAGCUACUGGUACUUGGUCUGUUUGUGAGCUUCCUCCUGGUAAACAUCCCGUCGGUUGCAAGUGGGUAUAUACGAUUAAGUUUAAUCCUGAUGGCACCAUUGAACGUUUCAAGGCUCGUUUAGUUGCUAAGGGUUAUACACAGAUUGAAGGGCUUGACUAUAUUGACACGUUUUCUCCAGUGGCUAAGAUGGGUACUGUCCGUCUUCUUCUUCGGUUAGCUGCAAGCAAGAACUGGUCUAUUACACAAAUGGACAUCAGUAAUGUUUUUCUUAAUGGAGAUCUCGAUGAAGAGAUAUACAUGAUUAUGCCUCCGGGUUAUUCCCAACUCUCUGGCAAGACUUAUCCUAAGAACUCUGUUUGCAAACUUCAUAAAUCUUUAUAUGGGUUGAAACAGGCUUCUCGUCAGUGGAAUCAGAAGCUAUCAAGUGUUAUUCUUGGUGCAGGUUUCCAACAGGCUCCUUCUGAUCACUCUCUUUUUGUUAGAAACACGUCUGAGGUGUUCUUAGCAAUUUUGGUUUAUGUGGAUGAUAUAUUGUUUGUUGGUAGUGAUGAGUCUGCUGUUGAUGCUUUCAAGGAUAUUCUUAAGGCUGCUUUCAAGUUGCGAGAUCUUGGUCCCGCAAAGUAUUUUCUUGGCUUUGAGAUUGCUCGCAGUGCAACUGGUAUUGCUAUUAAUCAGAGGAAGUAUACACUGGAGCUUCUUGAAGAUGCUGGUUUGCUUGGCUGCAAACCUCUCUAUGUUCCCAUGGAACCUAAUCUAAAAAUGUCUGGUACUGAUGGCGUUCUUCUUGAGGAUCCUUCGGUUUACAGACGCAUUGUUGGUCGUCUUCUCUAUCUCACCCACACCCGUCCUGAUAUUACUUAUGCUGUACACAAGCUCAGUCAAUAUAUGUCUGCUCCUCAUUCCGUUCAUCUUCAAGCCGCUAAUCGGAUCUUACGUUACUUGAAGAAUGAUCCAGGACAGGGCCUUUUCUUUUCUGCUUCAGCAGCACUCAACCUCACUGCUUUCUCUGAUGCUGAUUGGGCUGCCUGUCCUGACUCCCGUCGCUCUGUUACUGGCUAUUGUGUGUUUCUUGGUGAUGCUUUAAUCUCUUGGUGUUGCAGGAAACAACCAACUGUGUCACGUAGUAGUUCUGAGGCUGAGUACCGUGCUAUGGCUGAUACUACUUGUGAACUGAUUUGGUUGACUUCUCUUCUGCAUGAUCUUCACUGUCCUCCGUCUUCUCCGGCUACUCUCUUCUGCGAUAACCAAUCUGCUCUACACAUUGCUUCUAACCCUGUGUUUCACGAGUGCACGAAGCACAUAGAGAAUGACUGUCAUGUAGUGCGGGAACGUUUGCAGAGUGGCUUCUUGAAGACGUUACAUGUUCGAUCUGAUAAUCAACUUGCUGAUAUUUUUACUAAGGCAGUUCAACCUGGCCUUUUCAAGAAUUUACUGUCCAAGAUGGGUUUACAUAGCUUGUAUCUUCCAUCUUGAGGGAGGGGUAUUGGAUUAUAGAUUGUACGUUGGUUUGAUAUGGUUAAUACCUGUUAGGAACUUUCUAUAUAUAUUUGAAGUAUUGGUUGCAUUGUAACAGAAUGAUGAUAAUAAUAAAAGAUAUUUUGAUCUUCAUCUCUCUCGCUUGAGCUCAAGUUCUCUGGAUCUAAUAGUAUUGUUCAAUAUCUGCCAACUGAGUCAUACAUCUCCAGAGAAUAGGAAGCCAUAGAUUGGUGCUCAAAACUGGCGCCUUGGAGGCUAUAUCUCACUGGAAAAUAAUAGCUUCCAAUGUUAAGUACUAUUAGUAAAAUCAGGGUACAAAGCAAAAAUUCCGUACCCGGGCUUUCUAGUUGGGUAAGACAAGAUUGUAAGUUACUCUUCUUGUUAGCAAAACUUGAUGAGCUCAAAUGGUUUUUUUUUUCUUCUUCUAAGAGAGAUGGAGAGCCAUUUGUUGAAGAAGUUCUUUCUUUUGACAUGCAUUUAUGACUCCUUUGCAUUCUGCAUCGAGCAAACCCUCGUUCAUUAUGGCCGCUGCAUGGCCUCUUGGUUCAUCUGGUGCUCUUCUUAGCAUAAACACCUUAACACAGACCCAACCCUUACAUCAUCAUCUAAUGGUUUCUGUUAGCGUUUCACUGUUUGAUUUUGUAGACUUCAGUUUUCUGACAUAAUCGACGAAAGUAAGAAAUGAUGUACCUGCCCGUGGUGAGUUAUUUCCAAGCAUCCAGGUUGCUGAAUAACCCAACAACACAAAAGAUUCAAUCUUUAUCUCAUUUCUCGAAAAUCCACAACUCAAUUUAAGUCAUACCUCAACCACCUCGACGUUUCCGGCGCUCUCGAAGAGCUGAGCAACCUGAGCACUGUCAACGUUGAAGGGAAGGUUACCGACGAAGAGCUUGAGUUCAGAAGAGAAGGAUUGAUCCCGCCACGGGGUCGGGGGGAGCGUCGUCGUCAUCAGACAUCAGCGAAGAUGCUGUCUUCUUCGACUGAGAAGUCGUCAGUAACCGCGACAUUACGGACGAAGCGAGACGCGGCGGCGGAGAUGGAGAUGGAAGCAUAGAUCGAGUGGAGAUUGAAGGAGAUGAAAGGAGGUAGGAGGGAAGCGGAGGCGGGUCUGGAGAUGGUGAAAGGAAGGGAAUAUGGAGAAGAAUGCUUUUGUUGUUAACUUUGGGAAGAUUGUAUCGUCCAGCGGAGAAACCAGAGGAGAUGGAGACGACAGAAGAUGGAGAACACGAGAGAAACAGAAGAAAAAAAGAUAAAAAAUUAAAACUUAGGGAAGAUUGACACGUGUUCGAAAAAAUCCAUUCUAAAUUGGUUACCAAAGUCUCAUAUUAAGGAUCGACUACUCCCAUUUUAAUUACUUUUGAUUUAAUUAAAUUCUUGAUUUUUUUAAAAACCUCACUUAAGAGCACUCCCAUUAGUGAACUUAUGGGGGUUCACACACAUUCUAAAAAAAAAAAAUAUUAAAAUAAGGAAUAGUGAUGAACCUGUCUCUCUCCACCCCUUCCCAGUGAACCUGGUUCAUCACUGUAGCGCGGGCCCCAUGGCACGUGGCGGCCCGCGACUGGUCCGAAAAAAUAUAUAUAUAUAUUUUUUUUUAAAACAAAAAUCAACCAAAAAAAUAAUAAUAAAAAAAUGCUUUGUGAACUUCUUUCAUGGGGUUCACUAAUGGGGAUGCUCUAAGGAUCUGGGAUAAUGAUGGUCUUAGUUUGUAAAAGAUCUCUAGUUUAAGGUACUAAUUUAUAAAUUUUAAAACCUAUAACUACAAUUUUGAGAAAAUAGAAUCUGAGCACAGGUUCCAUAAUGCUUUUAAGACGUACGGACCUGGUUGGUGGUAAAGGAGAAGACAUAGGGACAAAAAAAACAAAUAAAUUUAGUAAAUGCGAAUAUGUGAAUCACAUUAACUCACCAUGUAUUAUUAUAUUUACUUAAUAGUUAUUUAAUAUGUAUUUAUCAGUUGAUUGCAUCAGUAACUUUUAAGGAUAGAAUAACAUUUAGGGUGAAUUUGUAAGAUAACCAUAAUAGAAAAAAAAAAUAAGAAUAUAACCAUCUCUUAGUAAUUGUAUUAAUUGAUUAUAUAAGUGGAUAUUCUUUUCCAGCACGUAAACAUGAACACAAUAUAUCGGAUAAGAAAGACUAUUCUAUUUCUGAUGUUUAUAUGGAAUAGAUAAACAAUGUCCACACAAAGUGUAGUGGAAAGAGGGAGAGAGGGAAGGAGAGAGUGGGAGUGGGAGAGGGAGAGAGGAAGGGUGAGAGAGAGAGAGAGAGUCAGAGAGAGAGAGAGAGAGAGAGAGAGGGAGAGGGAGAGGGAGACAGAGAGAGGGAUAGAGAAAUAGAUAAAUCUAUACUAUAUGUUUAUGAUAGUAUAGAUUUAAAACUGCGUUAAUGAUAUAUAUUACAAAAUAUAUAAAAUAUAAAUUUUUUUUGAAAGUUUCAAAAUAUUUUAUAUGAAGAAAAAAAUCUAUGUUUUUAAUAUGAAAAAUACAAAGUUUAAUAAGUGUUGUAGCAGAAGUUGAAAUAAAUUAAAAAUAGAAGGAGGAAACAUAUUUGAAAGAAGAAAAAAAAUCAAAAAAAAAAUGAAAAAAAAUGUUCAAGUAAAUGUGGUAAGGGUAAUAUGGUAAUUAUUAUACAAAUAUCAUAGUUUAAGAGUUGUUGUGUGUAGAAAAUUAAUUUUGUUGUUUGUCAUGUAUAUGUGUGCAAAUUUUCCUAACAUUUAUAUACAUAUAAUAAAGUUCGUACUCUAGCUAUUUAGGUAAAAGAGAUAGAUAGUGAAUUAAAUUCUUGUGAGCUAUACAGUGCAAUUUCCUUUUUAUAUAAUACUCUCUUUUUCUCUUUUUCUGUCAACUGUACAAUCCUUCUAGAAAUUGACAUUUGAAAUAUUUUUGCAAGUGAAUGGUUUUUCUUUUAUCAGUUUAAUUUUUAUUAUAUAACAGAAACCUUUUUCUGCUAUGAUUAUAUUACUUAUCAAAUUAGUAGUUCUAGACUUAAAAUUUAUGUUUUUUUCCUCUCUCAAAACUAAACAAAACCAAAAACUCAGAAAAAAAAAUAAUUUUACCCGAUGUCUAAGUUGUCGUACAAUUAUAUUGGAAUACGAAGUCAAUAUUUCUUUGAACAUGGAUGCUACUAUGGAGCAAGAACCUUGCAACAAUAGAUUGUUUCUGAAUCUAAGUGGACUAACCCUAGAUAUGGUGUGGUGUGGUUAAGUGCUAGUACCAAUAUUUGAUUGGAGCAUGAAUCCUACGAGAUAUUUAUGGUAACGCAUUGCUUCUUAGUAGAGAUGCAUCUGGCGAUACGAAUCACCCGGCUGGUAGAGGAAUUAGAAUGCAUUUUAUGGACAUUUGAGGGUUCAAUACUUUAUUAUACCCUGACUAUUCUAAAAUAUUCCUUCAAAAAGAAAAUUAAGUAUAUAUAUUCCUGGAUAAAUUGUAAUUAGAAAAUAGUAUAUCAAAGAUAUUGUCCUACGACACCGUUGAAAUUACACAUUGGGAUUCUCUUCACAAUGAACCUUUAUUCAACUUUAAAUACAUGAAAGCAAAGUAAGGGCGAGAUCUAUGAAACUUGAUAUAUAAAUAGAGCUGCAAGGGAAAGACAUUUCAUCACAUCCAAAACCAAUUACAACACAAAGAAAACCUUUACUAAUCUCUGCUCUAUAGGUUCAUAUACAUUUUUCUUUUGUAACCCUAAAAACAUGGCAAUACUCAGGAACAAAAAAAUAACCUUUUUAUUGAUCUUGAUGUGUCUCAUUGUGGUGUCUCCAAUUGCUAAUGCUCAGCUUGGUGGUCUAGGUGGUGGGCUUGGUGGUCUUGGUAUGCUUCUUGGCGGGCUUACUAAUAUCUUUAAUA